CGGAACGGGGACACCAGCAGCACGGUGGCCUCAGCUCUCCUCCGCGGCAGAGACCCAGGAUUUCCCAAAGAUGCCAGAACUUUGGAGGAUCAGUCCCUGAGCAAAUAAAUCAGCGAAGAGUCAGCACGCUCCACAGGAAGGGAGAGAGUGACCAAAGUCUCCUGCCUUUCCUUUCCACGCUGUCAGAGGUAGGCCUGGUGAACCUGUAACAGGGCUGUCCGCUCUGACAAACUGCUCGGCUUUCUCUAGUUCUUCUCCUCCUCCUCUCAUGGAUGAAGCAGAGACUAAUUGUGGUGCUGCCAGGCAUCUGAGCUGCGCAUUGCUUCCACUGCAGGACUGUGUUUAAAUCAGGUAUCAUUUCUUCUGGAAACUUCACAAGUCAAGACUUUCAUCCUCUUUCCUGUAACCCACCACUCUGAGUCAUUUUAUAACCAAAACAGACAGAGAUUCUGGUGUCAUUCAUGAUUUAAAAAAAAACCAACACAUUACCCAAUGCAUAUUUUGUUGCUUGGGCACAAAAUAAAACCAAACACAACAAAACCAAAGAACAAACAGACAGAAAAGGACACAGCCCACUCACAAACCUGCUCCCUCUGCCCCUGCCCUGCACUAGGCUCCACACCCCCUCAGGGCACUGCAGCACGCUCUGCACCAGCUGGGGAAGACCCGAAUGUGGCAACCAGCAAACGGAGCCCAGCGGCGCUCCGGCAGCCACCUUCUGGCUACGGGGCCUCUGCUGCCGCGUGCUUCGUUCCACGAUGGGGCGGACUCGCUCCUACAGCUGCUCCUGGCCUUCCAGCCCCGGCUGUGACUAUUACCCUUGGUUAGACAGCUCCGUUCCUGCUAAAGACAAAAUAGGUUUUAGGUGACCUCUGAAGCCCGUCACAUCCGAACCGCACAGACAUGACUGUGACUGUACCAGGGCAGUGUAAAAGCCGCUGUGGUUCAAGGAAAGAGUGACAGCUGAGGGGAGGAAAUGGCUCGUACUUUCAGAGGCGGUUUCUGUAAGUCACUGCAUGAAGUAGCAGCGCUUGUCCCUUCCACUGUGCCGCUCAGAGGCAGGGUUACAGAGGUGAGGGGCAGAAAGGAAACGCUACGUCCGCCUCCGUUCUAAGCCUGUAUCCUUCCCACACACACACACCACAGAAGAAAACAAA
This is a long non-coding RNA of Cygnus olor (mute swan), 1157 nucleotides long. RefSeq lists it as uncharacterized. Lineage: Eukaryota; Metazoa; Chordata; Aves; Anseriformes; Anatidae. The record is from RefSeq and is a predicted model, not a curated record. The transcript is spliced from 2 exons.